GGCUUUAUGCAGUGGCAGUAUCAUAGCCCAUUAGGUUUAACUGAGGCGUGAUUAUUCCAAAUUUAAAACGUUUUUCAGUCUUCAACCAUGAUGAGUUAGAACACUGCAUGAGUAUUUUUGCCCAUUUCUCAUGAGC
Molecule: small nuclear RNA, 136 nt
Organism: Bufo gargarizans (Asiatic toad)
Lineage: Eukaryota; Metazoa; Chordata; Amphibia; Anura; Bufonidae
Product: U4 spliceosomal RNA
Exons: 1
Source: RefSeq, a predicted model, not a curated record